GACGAACGCGGCGGCGUGCCUAAUACAUGCAAGUAGAACGCUGAAGGAGGAGCUUGCUCUUCUAGAUGAGUUGCGAACGGGUGAGUGACGCGUAGGUAACCUGCCUGGUAGCGGGGGAUAACUAUUGGAAACGAUAGCUAAUACCGCAUAACAGUAGAUGUUGCAUGACAUAUGCUUAAAAGGUGCAAUUGCAUCACUACCAGAUGGACCUGCGUUGUAUUAGCUAGUUGGUGGGGUAACGGCUCACCAAGGCAACGAUACAUAGCCGACCUGAGAGGGUGAUCGGCCACACUGGGACUGAGACACGGCCCAGACUCCUACGGGAGGCAGCAGUAGGGAAUCUUCGGCAAUGGACGGAAGUCUGACCGAGCAACGCCGCGUGAGUGAAGAAGGUUUUCGGAUCGUAAAGCUCUGUUGUAAGAGAAGAACGAGUGUGAGAGUGGAAAGUUCACACUGUGACGGUAUCUUACCAGAAAGGGACGGCUAACUACGUGCCAGCAGCCGCGGUAAUACGUAGGUCCCGAGCGUUGUCCGGAUUUAUUGGGCGUAAAGCGAGCGCAGGCGGUUAGAUAAGUCUGAAGUUAAAGGCUGUGGCUUAACCAUAGUACGCUUUGGAAACUGUUUAACUUGAGUGCAAGAGGGGAGAGUGGAAUUCCAUGUGUAGCGGUGAAAUGCGUAGAUAUAUGGAGGAACACCGGUGGCGAAAGCGGCUCUCUGGCUUGUAACUGACGCUGAGGCUCGAAAGCGUGGGGAGCAAACAGG
This 762-nucleotide ribosomal RNA is filed under the name uncultured Streptococcus sp. RNAcentral's name for it is "bacterial SSU rRNA". It matches the Rfam family "Bacterial small subunit ribosomal RNA", at positions 28 to 776 of the family's 1533-position model. Lineage: Bacteria; Bacillati; Bacillota; Bacilli; Lactobacillales; Streptococcaceae. The record is from RNAcentral.